GGGUCAGUAGGUUGGUCGUGCCACUGGUAUGCACUGGCCUUACUGAUUCCUCCUUCUUGAAGAACUGUGAUGUCAUUUACUUGGUGUUGCAGGGAAACAGGACUGUUACUUUGAAAAAAUUAGAGUGUUUAAAGCAGGCUAACGCUUGAAUACAUUAGCAUGGAAUAAUGAAAUAGGACGUUUGAUCCUAUUUUGUUGGUUUUAAGGACCAAUGUC
RNAcentral lists this ribosomal RNA (216 nucleotides) under uncultured fungus. RNAcentral's name for it is "partial small subunit ribosomal RNA". The stretch from base 40 to 216 matches the Rfam family "Eukaryotic small subunit ribosomal RNA", at positions 686 to 864 of the family's 1831-position model. The record is from RNAcentral. Lineage: Eukaryota; Fungi.